This 3097-nucleotide ribosomal RNA is filed under the name Corynebacterium aurimucosum ATCC 700975. Its description in RNAcentral is "bacterial LSU rRNA". It matches the Rfam family "Bacterial large subunit ribosomal RNA". The record is from RNAcentral. Lineage: Bacteria; Bacillati; Actinomycetota; Actinomycetes; Mycobacteriales; Corynebacteriaceae.
GUGUUCGUUAUUUAGGGCGCAUGGUGGAUGCCUUGGCAUGCUGAGCCGAUGAAGGACGUGUAAGGCUGCGUUAAGCCUCGGGGAGUUGUCAAUAAAGCGUUGAUCCGAGGAUGUCCGAAUGGGGAAACCUGGCACCUGUUAUGGGGUGUUACCCUUCAGUGAAUUCAUAGCUGUUGUGGGGGUUUACGCGGGGAAGUGAAACAUCUCAGUACCCGUAGGAGAAGAAAAUAAAAUUAUGAUUCUGCUAGUAGUGGCGAACGAACGUGGAUGAGGCUAAACCGUGUGCAUGUGAUACUUGGUAGGGGUUGUGUGUGCGGUGUUGUGGGCCCCAAUGGGCGGUGACUACCAUCAUCGUGCUUGUGUGUUGUUGUUAGGUGAAGUGGUGUGGAAACGCCGACCGUAGAGGGUGAUAGUCCCGUAGUUGAAGGCUUCAAUGUGCAAGUUGUUGGGUUGCCCGAGUAGCAGCGGGCUCGUGGAAUCUGCUGUGAAUCUGCCGGGACCACCCGGUAAGCCUAAAUACUCAGUGUGACCGAUAGUGUAUUAGUACCGUGAGGGAAUGGUGAAAAGUACCCCGGGAGGGGAGUGAAAUAGUUCCUGAAACCAUGUGCUUACAAUCCGUCAGAGCACCUUUUUGUGUGUGAUGGCGUGCCUUUUGAAGAAUGAGCCUGCGAGUCAGCGGCAUGUCGCGAGGUUAACCCGUGUGGGGUAGCCGUAGGGAAACCGAAUCCUAAUGGGGUGUUGUCAGUGGCAUGUCCUGGACCCGAAGCGGGGUGAUCUACCCAUGGCCAGUGUGAAGCAGUAGUAAGAUGCUGUGGAGGCGCGAACCCACGUAGGUUGAAAACUGCGGGGAUGAGCUGUGGGUAGGGGUGAAAGGCCAAUCAAACUCCGUGAUAGCUGGUUCUCCCCGAAAUGCAUUUAGGUGCAGCGUCGCAUUAGCUUGGUGGAGGUAGAGCUACUGGUUGGUUGAGCGGGACUACAAUCUUAGCAAUGUCAGCCAAACUCCGAAUGCCAUCAAUUGUGUUGUGCGGCAGUGAGACUGUGGGGGAUAAGCUUCAUAGUCGAGAGGGAAACAGCCCAGAUCGCCGGUUAAGGCCCCUAAGGGUGUGCUAAGUGGAAAAGGAUGUGGGAUCGCGAAGACAGCCAGGAGGUUGGCUUAGAAGCAGCCAUCCUUGAAAGAGUGCGUAAUAGCUCACUGGUCGAGUGGUCCUGCGCCGACAAUGUAGUGGGGCUCAAGCACACCGCCGAAGCCGCGGCAAUACUUUUUGUAUUGGGUAGGGGAGCGUCGUGCAUGUGUUGAAGCGUUACCGUGAGGAGGCGUGGAGUGUGUGCGAGUGAGAAUGCAGGCAUGAGUAACGAAUUGGAAGGUGAGAAUCCUUCCCGCCGGUUGACUAAGGGUUCCUGGGUCAAGUUCGUCUUCCCAGGGUGAGUCGGGACCUAAGGCGAGGCCGACAGGCGUAGUCGAUGGAUAACCAGUUGAUAUUCUGGUACCCGUAUAUCCGCGCCCAUGAUGAAGCACUGAUACUAACCACCGCGGAUGCGACUGGGGUGUUCUUUGAACACGUUGGUUGUUGAUGUCGUGGGGCCUGAUGUGUGGUUCAAGUGAUGGGGUGACACAGUGUAGUAGCCAUGCCGCUGAGUGGAUUGUUGGUGUAAGCGUGUGAGGUGGUGUGUAGGCAAAUCCGCACACCGAGUAAGCCUGAGGCGUGAUGCGUAGCCCAUUGGGGUGAAGUUGGUGAUCUAGUACUGUCGAGAAAAGCCUCUAGCGAUGUGGAUGUAUGGCCCGUACCCUAAACCGACACAGGUGGUCAGGUUGAAAAUACUAAGGCGUUCGGGUGAACUGUGGUUAAGGAACUCGGCAAAAUGCCCCCGUAACUUCGGGAGAAGGGGGACCACACGACUUAAGCCAACCAAAGCGUUGGUGUGGGUUGUGGGGUCGCAGAGAAUAGAGGGAAGCGACUGUUUAUCAAAAACACAGGUCCAUGCGAAGACGUUAAGUUGAUGUAUAUGGACUGACGCCUGCCCGGUGCUGGAAGGUUAAGAGGACCGGUUAGUAGUCUUUGACUGCGAAGCUGAGAAUUUAAGCCCCAGUAAACGGCGGUGGUAACUAUAACCAUCCUAAGGUAGCGAAAUUCCUUGUCGGGUAAGUUCCGACCUGCACGAAUGGCGUAACGACUUCUCUGCUGUCUCAACCACAGGCCCGGUGAAAUUGCACUACGAGUAAAGAUGCUCGUUACGCGCGGCAGGACGAAAAGACCCCGGGACCUUCACUAUAGCUUGGUAUUGGUGUUCGGUUCGGUUUGUGUAGGAUAGGUGGGAGACUGUGAUGCAUGCACGCCAGUGUGUGUGGAGUCGUUGUUGAAAUACCACUCUGAUCGGAUUGGAUGUCUAACCUUGGCCCAUGAUCUGGGUUGGGGACAGUGCCUGGUGGGUAGUUUAACUGGGGCGGUUGCCUCCCAAAAUGUAACGGAGGCGCCCAAAGGUUCCCUCAGCCUGGUUGGCAAUCAGGUGGUGAGUGUAAGUGCACAAGGGAGCUUGACUGUGAGACAGACAUGUCGAACAGGGACGAAAGUCGGGACUAGUGAUCCGGCACCUACUUGUGGAUGUGGUGUCGCUCAACGGAUAAAAGGUACCCCGGGGAUAACAGGCUGAUCUUCCCCAAGAGUCCAUAUCGACGGGAUGGUUUGGCACCUCGAUGUCGGCUCGUCGCAUCCUGGGGCUGGAGUAGGUCCCAAGGGUUGGGCUGUUCGCCCAUUAAAGCGGCACGCGAGCUGGGUUCAGAACGUCGUGAGACAGUUCGGUCUCUAUCCGCCGCGCGCGUUGAAACUUGAAGAAGGCUGUCCCUAGUACGAGAGGACCGGGACGGACGUACCUCUAGUGUGCCAGUUGUUCCGCCAGGAGCAUGGCUGGUUGGCUACGUACGGAAGGGAUAACCGCUGAAAGCAUCUAAGCGGGAAGCCUGUUUUAAGAUGAGGUUUCAUUUGAGGUCCCCCAAAGACGAUGGGGUUGAUAGGCCAGACCUGGACGCACCGCAAGGUGUGAAGGCUACUGGUACUAAUAGACCAAAACAAACACACACACCCAUCUAGGGUGUGUUGAC